CCCGACUGCUAUCAGAGUGGGACUAAGCCAUGCGAGUCAACAUAGCAAUAUGUGGCANACGGCUCAGUAACACGUAGUCAACAUGCCCAGGGGACGUGGAUAACCUCGGGAAACUGAGGAUAAACCACGAUAAGUCACUACUUCUGGAAUGGGUAAUGACUAAAAUCUACAUGGCCCCUGGAUUGGACUGCGGCCGAUCAGGCUGUUGGUGAGGUAAUGGCCCACCAAACCUGUAACCGGUACGGGCUCUGAGAGGAGGAGCCCGGAGAUGGGCACUGAGACAAGGGCCCAGGCCCUAUGGGGCGCAGCAGGCGCGAAACCUCUGCAAUAGGCGAAAGCUUGACAGGGUUACUCUGAGUGAUUUCCGCUAAGGGAAUCUUUUGGCACCUCUAAAAAUGGUGCAGAAUAAGGGGUGGGCAAGUCUGGUGUCAGCCGCCGCGGUAAUACCAGCACCCCGAGUGGUCGGGACGAUUAUUGGGCCUAAAGCAUCCGUAGCCGGUCCUGCAAGUCUUCCGUUAAAUCCAGCUGCUCAACAGAUGGGCUGCGGGAGAUACUACAGGGCUAGGAGGCGGGAGAGGCAAGCGGUACUUUAUGGGUAGGGGUAAAAUCCGCUGAUCCAUAGAAGACCACCAGUGGCGAAGGCGGCUUGCCAGAACGCGCUCGACGGUGAGGGAUGAAAGCUGGGGGAGCAAACCGGAUUAGAUACCCGGGUAGUCCCAGCUGUAAACGAUGCAGACUCGGUGAUGGGUUGGCCUUGCGCCUGCCCAGUGCCGCAGGGAAGCCGUUAAGUCUGCCGCCUGGGGAG
This 805-nucleotide ribosomal RNA is filed under the name uncultured Front Range soil crenarchaeote FRB25. Its description in RNAcentral is "bacterial SSU rRNA". It matches the Rfam family "Archaeal small subunit ribosomal RNA", at positions 21 to 835 of the family's 1478-position model. Lineage: Archaea; Thermoproteati; Thermoproteota. The record is from RNAcentral.